GGAUGUGAGGGUGAUCUGGCUGCGACAUCUGUCACCCCAUUAAUCACCAUGGUUGAUUCGGCUGAUCUGGCUGGCUAGGCGGGUGUCCCCUUCCUCACCGCUCCAUGUGUGUCCAUCCCGAAGCUGAGUGCUUGGCCAAAGAGGACGACCUUCCCUGAAUAGAGGAGGACCAGUCUUCGGUCAAGGGUAUAUGAGUAGCUGUGCUCCCCUGCUGGAACCUCCAAACAAGCUCUCAAGAAAUGACAUUAACAGGGCGUGGUGGCACAUACCUUUAAUCCCAGCACUAGGGCAGUAGAGGUGAAGCAGGUGGAUCUUUGAGU
This 320-nucleotide small nuclear RNA is filed under the name Neotoma lepida (desert woodrat). RNAcentral describes it as "7SK RNA". It matches the Rfam family "7SK RNA". From Rfam's summary of the family: 7SK was discovered as an abundant small nuclear RNA in the mid-70s but a possible function has only recently been suggested. Two independent studies have found that 7SK RNA binds the CDK9/cyclin T complex (known as elongation factor P-TEFb). The record is from Rfam by way of RNAcentral. Lineage: Eukaryota; Metazoa; Chordata; Mammalia; Rodentia; Cricetidae.